RNAcentral lists this ribosomal RNA (336 nucleotides) under Triticum aestivum (bread wheat). RNAcentral's name for it is "partial small subunit ribosomal RNA". Lineage: Eukaryota; Viridiplantae; Streptophyta; Magnoliopsida; Poales; Poaceae. The record is from RNAcentral.
AUGGUUCUCGGAGAUUUUAACAUGAUCUUGCAUGCAUCGGAGAAGAGCAACACUAACCUAAAUAGGACCAUGAUGGCCAAGUUCAGGAGUUUCAUCGAUAGCAAUGAGUUGGAAGAAGUAUAUAUGCACGGAUGAAGGUUCAAGUGGUCCAACAAGAGGGACGCACCUACGAUGACUAAGAUUGACCGGGUGCUGGUCUCUAUGGACUGGGAGUUAGAGUUCCCCAACUGUCUCUUGCAGGCUUUAUCCACCGGAGUCUCUGAUCAUGCGCCUCUGCACCUUUGCACUGGGGCACUCUAUCUCCCUAGGAAGAGAUUUAGAUUUGAGAUCUACUAG